This 172-nucleotide RNase P RNA is filed under the name Halieaceae bacterium. Its description in RNAcentral is "partial RNase P RNA component class A". It matches the Rfam family "Bacterial RNase P class A", at positions 182 to 367 of the family's 367-position model. From Rfam's summary of the family: Ribonuclease P (RNase P) is a ubiquitous endoribonuclease, found in archaea, bacteria and eukarya as well as chloroplasts and mitochondria. Its best characterised activity is the generation of mature 5'-ends of tRNAs by cleaving the 5'-leader elements of precursor-tRNAs. The record is from RNAcentral. Lineage: Bacteria; Pseudomonadati; Pseudomonadota; Gammaproteobacteria; Cellvibrionales; Halieaceae.
GCGGUUGGUAACAACCGUGGCGAUGGUAAACCCCGCCCGGAGCAAGACCAAAUAGGAAUCUGAUGCCGUGACCCUCGGCGGAUUCGGGUAGGUCGCUUCAGGCGAACGGUGACGUUCGUCGCAGAUGAAUGAUCGUCCACGACAGAACCCGGCUUAUCGACCGACUCAUUCU